RNAcentral lists this ribosomal RNA (495 nucleotides) under uncultured bacterium. RNAcentral describes it as "bacterial SSU rRNA". It matches the Rfam family "Bacterial small subunit ribosomal RNA", at positions 16 to 507 of the family's 1533-position model. The record is from RNAcentral.
AUCCUGGCUCAGAUUGAACGCUGGCGGCAGGCCUAACACAUGCAAGUCGAGCGGAUGAGGGUAGCUUGCUAUCUGAUUCAGCGGCGGACGGUGAGUAAUGCCUAGGAAUCUGCCUGGUAGUGGGGGACAACGUUUCGAAAGGAACGCUAAUACCGCAUACGUCCUACGGGAGAAAGUGGGGGAUCUUCGGACCUCACGCUAUCAGAUGAGCCUAGGUACGAUUAGCUAGUUGGUGAGGUAAAGGCUCACCAAGGCGACGAUCGUUAACUGGUCUGAGAGGAUGAUCAGUCACACUGGAACUGAGACACGGUCCAGACUCCUACGGGAGGCAGCAGUGGGGAAUAUUGGACAAUGGGCGAAAGCCUGAUCCAGCCAUGCCGCGUGUGUGAAGAAGGUCUUCGGAUUGUAAAGCACUUUAAGUUGGGAGGAAGGGCAGUAAGUUAAUACCUUGCUGUUUUGACGUUACCGACAGAAUAAGCACCGGCUAACUUCGUG